CGAUCCCUACGGGACGCAGCAGUGGGGAAUAUUGGGCAAUGGGCGCAAGCCUGACCCAGCAACGCCGCGUGAAGGAAGAAGGCUUUCGGGUUGUAAACUUAUUUGAAGAGGGAAGAGCAGAAGACGGUACCUCUUGAAUAAGCCACGGCUAACUACGUGCCAGCAGCCGCGGUAAUACGUAGGCGGCAAGCGAUGUCCGGAUUUACUGGGUGUAAAGGGCGUGUAGCCGGGCUG
This 234-nucleotide ribosomal RNA is filed under the name uncultured bacterium. RNAcentral describes it as "partial 16S ribosomal RNA". It matches the Rfam family "Bacterial small subunit ribosomal RNA", at positions 333 to 582 of the family's 1533-position model. The record is from RNAcentral.